This is a long non-coding RNA of Cyprinus carpio (common carp), 1110 nucleotides long. Lineage: Eukaryota; Metazoa; Chordata; Actinopteri; Cypriniformes; Cyprinidae. The record is from Ensembl.
GAAAAGUUUAACUGCUAAAGGUUCCGUUGCAAUAACAGAGGACAAAAUUGUAAAUUCUUUAUUGCAGCCACAUGGUGGCAUUAUUUCCAGUCGUACUGUAUGUCUCAUAAAACAGAAGCCUUGCCAGAUGAACAGAUUAACAGUGAAGAUGCUUGGGUUUCAUCCUGUAUAAACUCAAAUGACUGGUAUAAAAUCACCAGAAUCUAAAGUCAAGUGUACUGUCUGCAUCAGUCCAACUACUUGUCCUUAAAUAGCUACUGCAAUUAGUAAUGCUAAUUAAUUAGUGAAGCAAUAACAAAAACGUUCAGCAGAUGAUUUCUUUUUUCUUUUUUUUCUUUUUGCAGUGGCAAUAAAGAAAUGACAGACAAUUUCCUCAGAUUUCACUUGUGAGAAAUAUCACUGGUAAUUCUAAGAAGCAGCAGAGGAUCCCACAAUCCUUUGGGUGGAGCUUGAUGAGAAUGGUUACAGCAGAAGGCAGUCCUGUGUUUCUCCACAUCUCAUUUUGUAUAUGAUCUCCCACAGUCAUAAUGAUUUUGUUUUACCUUAAUGUUUUGGCAAUUCUAACAGAGAGUGUUUUUGCGAAUGCAAUUACACCCCUCUUUACUGAAAAGCAUGCUUUUGAAGGAGAAAAGGCGACUCUUUCAUGCAACUACAGUGGAAGUAACAUACAGGUUUUACAGUGGUACAGACAGUAUCCCAACACUGCCCCCGAAUUUCUCUUGCUAGCUUUUGAAAAUAUGGGUCCAAAGCAGAAGGACCGUCAUGUUGCUGAAGCUCAAAAGGACAAAAAACAUCUGAAUCUGGAGAUCUCCAAAAUUGAAGUAGCAGAUGCUGCUCUGUACUACUGUGCACUGGUGCCCACAGUAACAGAAAACCCUUCAGCACUGUACAAAAACCUGAGAUGAGGAGGAAUACACAGAAAGAAGAAAGAAAGAAAGAAAGAAAGAAAGAAAGAAGGGAAGGAAGAGGAAGAAAGAAAGAAAGAAAGAAAGAAAGAAAGAAAGAAAGAAAGAAAGAAAGAAAGAAAGAAAGAAAGAAAGAAAAUCUCCAUAGAUGUUGAAUUUUCUUUAUGGAACCAUCAAUGCCAAUAAAGAACCUUUAAAAUGUCCA